Molecule: ribosomal RNA, 488 nt
Filed under: uncultured bacterium
Lineage: Bacteria
Description: partial 16S ribosomal RNA
Rfam family: Bacterial small subunit ribosomal RNA
Source: RNAcentral
GACGAACGCUGGCGGCGUGCUUAACACAUGCAAGUCGAACGGAAAGGCCCCCAUCUUGGUGGGGGUGCUCGAGUGGCGAACGGGUGAGUAACACGUGGGUGAUCUGCCCUGUACUUCGGGAUAAGCUUGGGAAACUGGGUCUAAUACCGGAUAGGACCAUGGUUUAGUGUCUCAUGGUGGAAAGAUUAUUGUUUUGGUGCAGGAUGAGCUCGCGGCCUAUCAGCUUGUUGGUGGGGUAAUGGCCUACCAAGGCGUCGACGGGUAGCCGGCCUGAGAGGGUGGACGGCCACAUUGGGACUGAGAUACGGCCCAGACUCCUACGGGAGGCAGCAGUGGGGAAUAUUGCACAAUGGGCGCAAGCCUGAUGCAGCGACGCCGCGUGGGGGAUGACGGCCUUCGGGUUGUAAACUCCUUUCGUUAGGGACGAAGCCGCACUUUUUUGGGUGUGGUGACGGUACCUUUGUUAAGAAGCACCGGCUAACUACGUG